Long non-coding RNA from Xenia sp. Carnegie-2017, 103 nucleotides. RefSeq lists it as uncharacterized. Lineage: Eukaryota; Metazoa; Cnidaria; Anthozoa; Malacalcyonacea; Xeniidae. The transcript has 2 exons. The record is from RefSeq and is a predicted model, not a curated record.
UUUCUUCGAAUGAACAUGUUUCAGAGCAUAUUAGAAAGGUUUAUUCCACUCCCCAAGUUCGGAACUUUUCUGAUGACGGGAAAUGUGGUGAAAGUAAUUGGCG